AUUCAUCAUGGACAGAAGGGUACAAAGAGAAAAUAUGUGCUGCAUGACGUCGGGAAGGACAUCUGGCCAAUAAACUCUAAGCUUCGUCUAGUCGUCCCAACUCUACCCUGAAUUAAGGCACUUUUACUUUUCAGAGGAGUUCCUGUUCUCCCAUGCCAUAGGCUGCCUCUUGGUAAUGGCAAAGGGCAACUUUCUACAUGAAGACACCUGGAAUAGCCUUCCGGCAGGAUAGUAAGCCCCAUGCCCAUGUUGGUGUGGUUUUAUCAGUCUUGCGGGAUAAAACAGAUAGGAAUCAUCGCUAGAUGAGCUAAUUCUACAUUAUUGUAAAUCUACACUGACAGAAUCUUGCAAGUCUCAAAGUAUAAUUUCCCCCACCAUCUCCUUUACCGUCUGAGAAGCUAGGCAAGGUCUCUUCUGAUUUUCUUGCUCAUCUCAUUAUGCAGUUGUGGGCUGUGCUGUAACUUAUCUGAUUGCUCCCUUAGCAUUGUCUCCUCACCCAAUCUCCCAAGGUCUUUCCCAUAUACCAGGGAGAGGCAACCUUGGCUCUUUUCUGACUCGUGGACUUCAACUCCCAGAAUUCCUGAGCCAGCCAUGCUGAGGGGAAAGGGAGAGGUUUCCAAGCUGAGCCAUGCUGGCUCAGGAAUUCUGGGAGCUGAAGUCCACGAGUCAUAAAAGAGCCAAGGUUGCCUACCCCUGCCAUAUACCAUUACAGAGUUGCAAGACUUUUGUAACACCACCAUUCUAUGCUGAUUUUCUCCACUCUCACUCUUGUUUCUGAAAAGCUAACACUUAAAAAAGCAUCAUAUACAACAUAGCAAUUGCAAUAAAAACCACAAUAGCAACAUUUAAACGAUGGUGCCAAGCUUUUCAAAAAGACAUUAUACAGCUCUACAGCAGAAUUCACUCCAAUACCAGAGGGAAUAAAUCAGUUUUCCAAAUGUUCCAGAACAUGGCUGACACUGUCUUUUAAUACAUUGUUUUUACCUGGUUUAUUUUAAAAGGUUUUUAGAAUUUGUAAAUCGCUUUGGGAUGCUCUGUAAUUACAGGUAGUCCUCGGCUUACAACAGUUUGUUUAGUGAACGUUCAAAGUUAGAGCAGCACUGAAAAAGUGACUUAAGACUGUUUUUCAGAAUACGACUGAUCCCCACAGUUGCACGAUCAAAAUUCAGAUGCUUGGCAACUGACUCAUUUUUAUGAUGGUUUCAGUGUCUAGGGGUCAUGUGAUCCCUUUUUAUAACCUGACAGGCAAAGUCAAUAGGGGAGCCAGAUUCA
Long non-coding RNA from Crotalus tigris (Tiger rattlesnake), 1272 nucleotides. RefSeq lists it as uncharacterized. NCBI's taxonomy places the organism in Eukaryota, Metazoa, Chordata, Lepidosauria, Squamata, Viperidae. The transcript has 3 exons. The record is from RefSeq and is a predicted model, not a curated record.